RNAcentral lists this ribosomal RNA (482 nucleotides) under uncultured bacterium. RNAcentral's name for it is "partial 16S ribosomal RNA". It matches the Rfam family "Bacterial small subunit ribosomal RNA", at positions 28 to 523 of the family's 1533-position model. The record is from RNAcentral.
GACGAACGCUGGCGGCGUGCUUAACACAUGCAAGUCGAACGAUGAACCAGGGCUUGCCCUGGGGAUUAGUGGCGAACGGGUGAGUAACACGUGGGCAACCUGCCCCACACACCGGGAUAACCUCUCGAAAGAGUGUCUAAUACCGGAUACGACCCAUUUGGGCAUCCAACGGUGGUGGAACGGCUUCUGGUCUAGGAUGGGCCCGCGGCCUAUCAGCUUGUUGGUGGGGUAAUGGUCUACCAAGGCGACGACGGGUCGCCGGCCUGAGAGUGCGACCGGCCACACUGGGACUGAGACACGGCCCAGACUCCUACGGGAGGCAGCAGUGGGGAAUAUUGCGCAAUGGGCGAAAGCCUGACGCAGCGACGCCGCGUGAGGGACGAAGGUCUUCGGAUUGUAAACCUCUUUCAGCAGGGACGAAGCGAAAGUGACUGUACCUGCAGAAGAAGCACCGGCUAACUACGUGCCAGCCGCCGCAGUAA